AGUCUCCAGGCGGCGGUGCUCAGUGGUCGGUUACUGAGGGGCCUUGUGGCAACAAGGUGACAUAGGACAAACAGCACUCAGGUGAGCACCUGGAAAAGGCUGUUGAAGCACACAGGCACUAGAACUACUUUAUGAGCAUAAUUCCUUGGACCAUAAUCGUCACCUGAGGAAGCCGCGUGAGACACCAGUCUUAGGCCCUGAGAUGUCUACAGAACCUCCAAAUACUCUGUUUUAUUUAAAGCAAGACAAAAGGGGUAUUGGAGCUGGACACAGGUGGCAGCCACUCUCUCUCAAAACCCCUUCUCUCUGUGCUGGACCCUAUAGCUCUCUCUCACUCUUCUGAGAAGUGCCAUAAUGGGAAAUGGAGAUCAACAAUGGAUGAGAAACUCCAAUAGCAUAAGAGACCUGAACAAGAACCCUCCUGCACAGACCUCCUUAACGAGGGAUUUUUUGCCACCUAAUGAACAGCAUAAGCAGCUGAACGGUCCACUUUGGUGUAACCCUUUCCUGAAAAGGCCCCUCCUCCAUGAGCUCCCCAACCGCCAUUCCAAAGUGAAGAGGAACGUGCCCUCCUCGAUGAACGCCUGUGGAAGCCUUUGAGCAGCCCUUUCAUGGCGGAAGAGAGGGCAACUCUGAGGUGAUGGAGCAGCGGCUAGGCAGAGGGCUGCUGAGGAAGCAGAGGGAGGAUCGCUUCAGCUCUCGGCAGGCUGGAGCCUCAGAGCAAACCUCAAGUAACUUUCUGUGGAUGCUGUGAGGGAAGGUGCACAGUUAUCUGGUGUUUUGACCUCCUCCUGGCUGAAGAUGAAGGCCCAAAACAGGAUCUUUCCCAGAAGCUGUGUUGCUUUGGCCAGGAAGGUGGCCGGUUGUCUGGAGCCGAAGAUGGCGCCACCUCAGAAGCUCUGUGGCUCUCGCCUGUACCAGAAACGGCUGGCCUCUGUAUUCCACACCGUCACCCGUGCAGGCUACCCUCCGCGGAGUCCCGGAGCCAAGGAGGCUCCCGCCGGGGCCUGAGGCACAAACCUCUAAAAUAAACCUUUAAAAAAAAUAAAAUCAAAGAGAUGGAGUCUCAGGAUCUAAGCUAGUUUUGAUGUCACUAUGGAUUCCAGGUUGGUCUCAAAUUUGUGACCAUUCUGGGUCAGUUUGCUGCCUUCAGGGAUUCCAUCUGCAUGCCAUUGCACCCCAUAUGCAUCCAGAAAUCAGAAGUGUCAUGCUAAUUGUUUCUUCAACGUUUUGAUUGAGAUUGACAUGGAAUUUAUGUUUCAGAUGAAAGAUAAUUGACAUGCUAAGUGUCUUCAAUUCAUUGAUAUCUUUGUUUCAUUUUUGAUUUUCUCUCAAAAUAUAUUGAUUUUAUUU
This 1353-nucleotide long non-coding RNA is filed under the name Mus musculus (house mouse). RNAcentral's name for it is "RIKEN cDNA 6030443J06 gene". Lineage: Eukaryota; Metazoa; Chordata; Mammalia; Rodentia; Muridae. The record is from RNAcentral.